GCAGGACACUGUAUUGGGAGUGGAGACAGUCUGUCUCCCUCCCCAGCGGCUGGGAGUAUGUAUGGGAGAGGAGCUUGUUACCCCCUCUCUCCAGCGGCAGCUUAACGUACCAGGGGGUGACAGUAAGCCCCACAACCGUGCAGAUGGGACCGUGGUCUCUGCACUUACAGCACAGUCGGUCCUGUCCCCCAGCAACAGGGCUGUUUAGCCAAAGUGGAGACAGUCUGUCUCCCCCCACAGCAGCAUGGUGGUUUGUCCAAAGGGGA
Non-coding RNA from Pelobates cultripes (western spadefoot toad), 266 nucleotides. Lineage: Eukaryota; Metazoa; Chordata; Amphibia; Anura; Pelobatidae. The record is from the annotation of a GenBank genome assembly.